CUGGAAGGAUUGCCAGAUUGAGAGCUCUUUCUUGAUUCGGUGGGUGGUGGUGCAUGGCCGUUCUUAGUUGGUGGAGCGAUUUGUCUGGUUAAUUCCGAUAACGAACGAGACUCUAGCCUGCUAAAUAGGUGGCUGGCUUUUUGAAUGAAAAUUUUGGGUUCGCAGUCUUUCUGGAUCAGGGGUUUGGGGCGCGGAGGCGGUUGCGGGUGUGUCGUCGCGUGCCUCGGUGCGUGGCGGGAUAUUCGUCGCCGUCGCCCGCCUCAGGUCCCCCGGAAAGCCAGCUGCGUUCUCGCGUCAGUCACGACUCUUCUUAGAGGGACAAGCGGCGUUUAGCCGCGUGACAGUGAGCAAUAACAGGUCUGUGAUGCCCUUAGAUGUCCUGGGCCGCACGCGCGCUACACUGAAGGAAUCAGCGUGUUUCUCUCCCCCUGUCCGAGAGGACCGGGUAACCGCUGAACCUCCUUCGUGGUUGGGAUUGGGG
RNAcentral lists this ribosomal RNA (481 nucleotides) under Diaphanosoma sp. DJT-2002. RNAcentral's name for it is "bacterial SSU rRNA". It matches the Rfam family "Eukaryotic small subunit ribosomal RNA", at positions 1231 to 1582 of the family's 1831-position model. Lineage: Eukaryota; Metazoa; Arthropoda; Branchiopoda; Diplostraca; Sididae. The record is from RNAcentral.